UGAUAGAACAUCGAAGGAUCUGCGCGUGACACAUCGAUGUUGUGAGGCAUCACAUUUGCUUUGCAACGGCUGACGACACGGCGGAAGCUGAGUUUGUUUCAUUAUGUUGCCUGAUUCACCACAGCCAUCAGAGGAAAUUCUUCACAACAUCUACUUCUGGAGCGGUGAGUUCACAAUAGACGACGGUCCACUUAGAAGUUUCAACGACCCAGAGCAUGCAUCCUUUUAGAGAGCAUCAUGAAGUCUGAAUGCCCAACUGAGCUUGUGCCGGCUGAUGGGAUGUCUAAGGUGAACGUAAAUCUUGUCCGUAAAGAAGAAAAAUGUCCUGAGCCAGUCAAGCGCCCUGUCCCAUUUCAAGGAGGGGGAAGAAUUCUUGCUGCACCAUAUGAAAACUCUGCUCUUGCGGAUAUCACUCCUGCAGCUGCUGCUUCUAGCACUGCGACCACCACGACGGCAGCCAUGUGGUUGCGCGCUUCAACACAAGCCAGACGAUCAAUGACUUACGAGCUCAUCGACACGACAAGGCCAGGAGAAACAAGCGACUACACGCUCCAGGUCGGGUUCCCCCCUAAGCCGCUCGAUGAUGCGACCAAGACCAUCGAGGAAGCCGCCGUCGCCAACUUGGCGACCAUCUAGAGAGUCUAAUCUCAACAGGCCUUUGACCCCAUGUAAUUGAACGCACCAUCCAUCCGUCCCAAUCAUGCACAUUUACUUGCCCUUUUGCCCGUCCCUGAGCUCUCUUGGAUGCCCCUCAGGUAUUAAGAUUGUAAAAAUUGGCGAGAUCUGGGUUCAUCUGCUAUAGCGCAUGGGACAGGGAAGGUAGUUGCAACGGAUGCCCAUUAUUCAUGUUUAGUUGUUUUCAUCGAUGAAUCUCCUGACGCCGAUUGAAAUUUACGAGCAACCGGGGCUGGUUAUUAGAAGGCAGUGUCUCCAGCACUAAACCAUAUUCCCUACUAACUUAUUAUUACCUACUUGAUCAAAAUGUUGGGACCGGCACCCUCGCGCCAAGGCGUGAUUCCGUUCUAGUAUAUAGUACUCUAACAAUGUUGUCGUGCACGAAUACUACUAAAAAGCGCAAGUGUGAUGCGAUUUUCAGAAAAUGUGUUGAAUUGUGCUCC
Molecule: long non-coding RNA, 1118 nt
Organism: Triticum dicoccoides
Lineage: Eukaryota; Viridiplantae; Streptophyta; Magnoliopsida; Poales; Poaceae
Exons: 7
Source: RefSeq, a predicted model, not a curated record